AGCGGCGGACGGGUGAGUAAUGCCUAGGAAUCUGCCUGGUAGUGGGGGAUAACGUCCGGAAACGGGCGCUAAUACCGCAUACGUCCUGAGGGAGAAAGUGGGGGAUCUUCGGACCUCACGCUAUCAGAUGAGCCUAGGUCGGAUUAGCUAGUUGGUGGGGUAAAGGCCUACCAAGGCGACGAUCCGUAACUGGUCUGAGAGGAUGAUCAGUCACACUGGAACUGAGACACGGUCCAGACUCCUACGGGAGGCAGCAGUGGGGAAUAUUGGACAAUGGGCGAAAGCCUGAUCCAGCCAUACCGCGUGUGUGAAGAAGGUCUUCGGAUUGUAAAGCACUUUAAGUUGGGAGGAAGGGCAGUAAGUUAAUACCUUGCUGUUUUGACGUUACCAACAGAAUAAGCACCGGCUAACUUCGUGCCAGCAGCCGCGGUAAUACGAAGGGUGCAAGCGUUAAUCGGAAUUACUGGGCGUAAAGCGUGCGC
RNAcentral lists this ribosomal RNA (482 nucleotides) under uncultured Pseudomonas sp. RNAcentral describes it as "bacterial SSU rRNA". It matches the Rfam family "Bacterial small subunit ribosomal RNA", at positions 94 to 572 of the family's 1533-position model. Lineage: Bacteria; Pseudomonadati; Pseudomonadota; Gammaproteobacteria; Pseudomonadales; Pseudomonadaceae. The record is from RNAcentral.